GCUGGUAUGGUAUAGUGGUUUGAGCGUUGGACUAUGACUCUGGAGACCAGGGUUCGAUUCCCCGCUUGGUCA
This 72-nucleotide transfer RNA is filed under the name Phrynosoma platyrhinos (Desert horned lizard). RNAcentral's name for it is "tRNA-OTHER". Lineage: Eukaryota; Metazoa; Chordata; Lepidosauria; Squamata; Phrynosomatidae. The record is from RNAcentral.